GCCGAUGUAGCUCAGUUGGUCAGAGCAGCUGAUUUGUAAUCAGCAGGUCGGGGGUUCGAAUCCCUUCAUCGGCU
This 74-nucleotide transfer RNA is filed under the name Eudoraea sp. RNAcentral's name for it is "tRNA-Thr". It matches the Rfam family "tRNA". Rfam says of the family: Transfer RNA (tRNA) molecules are approximately 80 nucleotides in length. Their secondary structure includes four short double-helical elements and three loops (D, anti-codon, and T loops). The record is from RNAcentral. RNAcentral also lists the same sequence under 4 other names. Lineage: Bacteria; Pseudomonadati; Bacteroidota; Flavobacteriia; Flavobacteriales; Flavobacteriaceae.